Molecule: ribosomal RNA, 330 nt
Filed under: uncultured bacterium
Lineage: Bacteria
Description: bacterial SSU rRNA
Rfam family: Bacterial small subunit ribosomal RNA
Source: RNAcentral
CGCGUAGGUGGUAGUGAAAGUCUAUGGUGGAAUCUUAGGGCUUAACCCUAAAACUGCCUUGGAAACUUCAUUACUUGAGUCAGUGAGGGGAGGGUAGAAUUCCUGGUGUAGCGGUGAAAUGCGUAGAUAUCAGGAGGAAGGCCGGUGGCGAAGGCGGCCCUCUGGCGCUGAACUGACGAUGAGGCGCGAAAGCGUGGGUAGCAAACAGGAUUAGAUACCCUGGUAGUCCACGCCCUAAACGGUGGGUACUAGGUGUAGGGCUCGUAAGGGUUCUGUGCCGAAGGGAAACCAUUAAGUACCCCGCCUGGGGAGUACGGCCGCAAGGUUGAA